UCUGGACUCUCAGUACCUGUUGCUAUAAGUGUUUCACUGACUCAUAUGAACAAAAAUACAAUAAAUAUAAGGAAAAGGAAACUAAAAAAGCCCUAAAAAACUACUUGGAAAGACUAGCAAUGAUAGAAGCUGAGACAAUGUGCAAUCUGACAAUGCCUUCGAUAGAAGACAUCAGUAGUGAACAACCUAGAACCUCAGCUGACAGCCAGUCAACAUCUUCGGCUUCGGAACAAGUUACUGCGGCGGCGUCAUCUUCAACGUCAAGAGAGCGGCUAAUGACCAAAGCGGAGAAGAUUGAGGAGAUACAGGAAGAAAUGAGCCAACUUUAUGGUGCUAUCUCAAUGUCAGACUUUUAUCUGUAUGGACUCCAGGAAGCAAGAGCAGAGAAUUCGAGUACCACCCGUGGAUCCAUCCCAAUAACAGUGAGACGCUGGUUCCGCAGACUUUUUUGACAGUAUGUUCCACAGUGUCCCCGUCACGUCCCCCGCAGCCGGCACAUCGGCGACACCUGCCGUUUCCUAUGGGAACGGCAAUAAAGAGGGAAGCCGAGGAAGCCCA
This 558-nucleotide long non-coding RNA is filed under the name Scleropages formosus (Asian bonytongue). RNAcentral describes it as "lncRNA (ENSSFOG00015027354.1)". The record is from RNAcentral. Lineage: Eukaryota; Metazoa; Chordata; Actinopteri; Osteoglossiformes; Osteoglossidae.